GUGCUUCCAUUGGCAGCACCUGUGCUGUGAUUGGACUGAUACAGAGAUGAUUGCUUAGCAUGGCCUCUGUACAAGGGUGACUUGCAAAUUUGUGAAGCAUUCCCUAUUUUU
Molecule: small nuclear RNA, 111 nt
Filed under: Notamacropus eugenii (tammar wallaby)
Lineage: Eukaryota; Metazoa; Chordata; Mammalia; Diprotodontia; Macropodidae
Source: RNAcentral